Molecule: ribosomal RNA, 397 nt
Filed under: uncultured bacterium
Lineage: Bacteria
Description: partial 16S ribosomal RNA
Rfam family: Bacterial small subunit ribosomal RNA
Source: RNAcentral
AUACGUAGGGGGCGAGCGUUGUCCGGAAUGAUUGGGCGUAAAGGGCGCGUAGGCGGCCCGGUAAGUCUGGAGUGAAAGUCCUGUUUUUAAGAUGGGAAUUGCUUUGGAUACUGUCGGGCUUGAGUGCAGGAGAGGGAAGUGGAAUUCCCAGUGUAGCGGUGACAUGCGUAGAGAUUGGGAGGAACACCAGUGGCGAAGGCGACUUACUGGACUGUAACUGACGCUGAGGCGCGAAAGUGUGGGGAGCAAACAGGAUUAGAUACCCUGGUAGUCCACACUGUAAACGAUGAAUGCUAGGUGUAGGGGGUAUCGACCCCUUCUGUGCCGCAGUCAACACAAUAAGCAUUCCGCCUGGGGAGUACGGCCGCAAGGUUGAAACUCAAAGGAAUUGACGGGG